GUCUGUCAGAGGAUAACUCAGUUGGUUAGAGCAUGAGACUCUUAAUCUCAGGGUCGAGAGUUCAAGCCCCACAACAGGCA
This 80-nucleotide transfer RNA is filed under the name Podarcis lilfordi (Lilford's wall lizard). Its description in RNAcentral is "tRNA.Lys". Lineage: Eukaryota; Metazoa; Chordata; Lepidosauria; Squamata; Lacertidae. The record is from RNAcentral.